This is a long non-coding RNA of Homo sapiens (human), 1418 nucleotides long. Ensembl annotates it as cancer susceptibility 17. Its record names the gene CASC17. The record is from Ensembl. Lineage: Eukaryota; Metazoa; Chordata; Mammalia; Primates; Hominidae.
GUAUGGAGUAUGUUUUUUAGCCCUGGGCAAUUCACCUUUUCUUUAAAUACUCAUGUCACAUUUGUGCUGUUGCCAAUGCUUCUCAGACCCUCCAGAUGAGGACAUUUCCCUGAGGAGGUGGCUAUGAUGGUAGAACUUACAAGACUUCAGUGGACAUAAGUUGUGCAUCUGAUCAUUAUUUAAACAUCAGAACAAAUGAAAAAGAUUCUAAGGAGAAAAAUUACCACAAGCAUUCAGGCAAUUUGAAACCAAAGCUGUUCCAGUACAAGUAUCACACAAAGACAUUCUGGAGAAUGGCAGAAAAGUGAGCGAAGCCAGAAAAACAACACUUCAAAAGGAGACGGGGUCAAGGUGGCAGGCAAGAUGGUCAAAUAGAAGUAGCUUCAGUCUGCAGCUCCCAGUGAGAUCAACACAGAAGGCAGGUGGUUUCUGCAUUUCUAACUGAGCCUCUGCUGGUGAUACCCAAGCAAACAGGGUCUGGAGUGGACCUCCAGCAAACUCCAGCACACCUGCAGCAGAGGGGCCUGACUGUUAGAAGGAAAACGAACAAACAGAAAGGAAUAGCAUCAACAUCAACAAAAAGGACAUCCACACAAAAACCCCAUCUGAAGGUCACCAGCAUCAAAGACAAAGGAAACAAUGCCAAGAAUACGUUAAUCUAAACCCAUGAUGUUUCUACAUCUCAAAGAACAGAGAGAAAAGGAAACUGGAGAGAGGCCAGAAGUGACCAACUCUAUUCCCUCAUUUCUGUGUUAUACUCCCUUUGUCUAAUCUUCCCUACCCUACCAGGUGGUUUAAGAAUUUUAUCCUUUCUCCAGACUAGAAGAGGAAGUGGGGGCCGGAAUUAGGUGUAUACAAAUUGUUGGAAAGCCUUUGUGUGGAUUUGGAGGGCUGAAGUAGAGUAUCAUUUUUACAAAGCAGCCCAAGCCUCUAAUCUGAGCAGGAAGAUUCACACUCAUUCUCUGGCAUGAGUCCUAUCAGGAGGAUCAAUGAAGCCAAGGCUGUAGAAAUAAAUAAUUAAUCUCUCCACCCAAGGAGGCUAGUAAACAAUAUUCAAUACGUGAAUACUGAGUUCUGCCAAGAGGAAGAAGCAUAUAAACCAGGCAACUGCUGAACGCAUUGCCAAAAAGGGAGACUUACGCAUCAUUCACUAAAGCUUUCCAAAAACUAAAUCAGAUCCAAGAACAGAUAAACUCCUGCAGAAUGACAAUGGUGGAGAAAUUGACCUCCCAGCAUUGCAGACUUACAUCAGUUGUUCUGAUGUUCUUAGUUAUAUCAGAUUCCUUCCAGAAUCUUCUAAAUAUAUCAGACGGUCAGACACAACCCCAGGCCCUAAUAAAAAACCCUGAUGCUGGCCUACAGAUGUGCAAUUUAAUAAACUUUCUCCAUGAUUCUGGUACACAUCCAACAUAGAAGAA